This 164-nucleotide ribosomal RNA is filed under the name uncultured bacterium. Its description in RNAcentral is "partial 16S rRNA". It matches the Rfam family "Bacterial small subunit ribosomal RNA", at positions 355 to 511 of the family's 1533-position model. The record is from RNAcentral.
UAGGGAAUCUUCCACAAUGGGCGAAAGCCUGAUGGAGCAACGCCGCGUGUGUGAUGUAGGGUUUCGGCUCGUAAAACACUGUUGUAAGAGAAGAAUGACAUUGAGAGUAACUGUUCAAUGUGUGACGGUAUCUUACCAGAAAGGAACGGCUAAAUACGCGCCAG